UACGUGGGUGGCAAGCGUUAUCCGGAAUUAUUGGGCGUAAAGAGCGCGCAGGUGGUUAAUUAAGUCUGAUGUGAAAGCCCACGGCUUAACCGUGGAGGGUCAUUGGAAACUGGUUGACUUGAGUGCAGAAGAGGGAAGUGGAAUUCCAUGUGUAGCGGUGAAAUGCGUAGAGAUAUGGAGGAACACCAGUGGCGAAGGCGGCUUCCUGGUCUGCAACUGACACUGAGGCGCGAAAGCGUGGGGAGCAAACAGG
This 253-nucleotide ribosomal RNA is filed under the name uncultured bacterium. RNAcentral's name for it is "partial 16S ribosomal RNA". It matches the Rfam family "Bacterial small subunit ribosomal RNA", at positions 524 to 776 of the family's 1533-position model. The record is from RNAcentral.